Molecule: long non-coding RNA, 1329 nt
Organism: Stomoxys calcitrans (stable fly)
Lineage: Eukaryota; Metazoa; Arthropoda; Insecta; Diptera; Muscidae
Exons: 2
Source: RefSeq, a predicted model, not a curated record
CAACUUUGAACAUGCUAAAACUUUCAAUAAAAAGCUACAAAAUAUUAAUCCUGGUCCCUCCGCUUUUAAAGAGAUUUGCCAAAUCACGGGAAAAUCGAAAUCACCGUUCUUUCCGCAAAUUGUCCGCGGUAAUGGCAUUCUCACCAAUAGUUCCAAUAUAGUCCAAGAGUUUCAUGAGUUUUACUCAAACACUUUCCGUAGAAGACUUCCCCAACAACCGGUAGAAGAUUUCAAUUCUAGAUUAUUAAACUGUAUAGAUGUCAUCCCUCGCCAUAUUUUUAAUCAAAAGCAUUAUUAAUUCCACAAACAACAAAAAAUCCGGCGACUUCGAUGGAAUCUCCAAUUUUAUAUUAAAAAAGAUUCCCAGACUCCACCUUAAAGUUACUGUCUUGCAUCUUCAACCAAUGUUUAAACAAUAGUUACUUUCCCACAGUUUGGAAAUUAGAAAAAAUAGUUCCUAUUAAAAAUAAAACCGAAUCAAUGACUGGAGCUGAAUAUCGUCCGUUUUAUCUUCUGUCUAAUGUCGGGAAAUUGUUUGAACAAGUCUUAAAAGAGAAAAUUUGAAACUGUUUUGUAAUUGAACCAAUGUCAGAUUACCAAUUCGGCUUUAGAAAAGCGCAUUAAGCACAACAUGCUAUGUUGAAUUUCCAAAACGAUACUGUCACUAAUUUGCGGAAUCAAACAUGUACCGUUGCAAUUUCCUUUGACAUUGAAAAAGCUUUUGAUUCUGUAAACCACCAAGUUUUCUUUCAAAUCGGAGAUUUUGGUUUGAUGUCCUAGGCACCUCAUCGGAUUUCGGCCCUGUUAACAGUGGAGUGCCCCAAGGAAGUGUGCUGGCACCACAUGUUUUUAAUUUCUUCUUAAAUGACUUCCCUCAUAAGCUUUAAAGUAAAAAUGCCUUAUGUAUAUAAGCCGUCGUUUGUUUAUAAACACAAACACAUAAUAAUUACACAUAGUAAUUUUCAUUCAUUAUUUGCUAAUACCAUCCCGCACUGUAUGUCAACAUAAUUUAACAGUCUAUUUGUUAUUUCGUUUUAAAAUGAUAUUUAGUUAUAAGUUUUUUAUUAUUUCGCAGACCAUGGUGCUCUGUAAUUAACAGCAAAGACCGGGAGCAAGCCUUUACAUUCAAUCUUUUGUUUUGAUUCUCAUUCAUAUAUGUAUGUACAUACAAUCAUGUUAGCAUGUAGCGAGUAGACCAAUUCAUCGUGUACUAUAACGAAACAACAAUAAUUCUAUGUUCGUUUGCUUUAAAGUAAUCGAUAACCAUUAUGCAAUACAUUCCAAUGUAAUCGAAAAUAAGAAGACUCAAUAAACAUCACUACUGCUCAA